Molecule: unclassified non-coding RNA, 188 nt
Filed under: plant metagenome
Description: partial contains small subunit ribosomal RNA and internal transcribed spacer 1
Rfam family: Eukaryotic small subunit ribosomal RNA (bases 1-47)
Source: RNAcentral
AAAGUCGUAACAAGGUUUCCGUAGGUGAACCUGCGGAAGGAUCAUUACCUAGAGUUGUAGGCUUUGCCUGCUAUCUCUUACCCAUGUCUUUUGAGUACCUUCGUUUCCUCGGCGUGUCCGCCCGCAUGGAUGAACAUUUAAACCACUUGCAGUUGCAAUCAGUGUCUGAAAAAACAUAAUAAUUACAA